This is an RNA transcript of Rhododendron vialii, 3688 nucleotides long. It is a transcript of the gene named receptor-like protein 7, with no coding region annotated. Lineage: Eukaryota; Viridiplantae; Streptophyta; Magnoliopsida; Ericales; Ericaceae. The record is from RefSeq and is a predicted model, not a curated record. The transcript has 3 exons.
AGCCCAACUAUAAGAGAACAUCAAAGGCAUCAAGCUUUCUCAUCCAAGAUUUGGUAACUAGCGUUGGCUAUACACAUACUCCAUCAUGGACUCAUGUUUGUAUCUUCGCAUUUACCUGAUCUUGUGUUGCUUUAAUCUUAUCAUAUUAACUUACUCUUCCUCUUCUACGCAGCCAUUAUGCCACGAAAAUGAGAGCAAGGCCUUGCUGCAGUUCAAGCAUAAUUUUUUCAUUGACAAGUUUGCUUCUGUUGGCCCUUCUGCUUAUCCAAAACUUGAAUCAUGGAAGCUACUUGGUGGAAAGAGCGAUGGUUGCUGCUCAUGGGAUGGUGUCGAGUGUGACCAAGACACUAGUCAUGUGAUCGGCCUCGACCUCAGCAGUAGCUUUCUCCAUGGUUCUAUCAAUUCCAAUAGCAGCCUAUUUACCCUUGUCCACCUUCGUACCCUAAACCUUGCUGAUAAUAAGUUCAAUUUCUCUGAAAUACCGUCCAGAAUUGGAAAUCUUUCGAGGCUGACUAGUCUCAAUCUAUCCAAAUCUGGAUUUUUCGGUCAAAUUCCUUCAGAAAUCUCAUCUCUUUCCAAAUUAGUUAUCCUCGAUCUGACUUCGGAAAUUGAUUUGUAUUCUGAAAGUCUUUUGAAACUUGAAAAACCCAGUCUAAGAGACCUAGUUCAAAACCUAACCAACCUGAAAGUACUUAACCUUUCUAUGGUGAACAUAUCUUCUUCAGUGCCAAGUGUUUUGUCAAAUAUAUCCUCUCUAACAACUCUUAAUCUUGAAGGAUGUUCGUUGUAUGGUGAAUUUCCAAUGGACAUUUUUCGUCUACCACAACUACAGAUUCUUAAUGUAGCUUGGAACGAAAAUCUCACCGGCUCUCUACCUGAAUUUCAAAGCAAUAGUCGCCUUAAGGCAAUGAUAUUCCACUGCACGGGCUUGUACGGUAAGCUACCAGAUUCAAUUGGUAGACUUGAAUCCUUAGUUUAUUUGGAUUUGAUUAAAACUAGUUUAUCUGGGACACUUCCAUCUCCACUUGGCAAUCUAACCCGGCUCAGUUUCCUCUACCUUUACGAUUGCAAGUUUAGUGGCCAGGUUCCUUCGUCGUUGGCAAACCUAUCAGAACUAACUAAGUUUGGAAUUGGCCAUAACGACUUUGACGCAGGACCACUUCCUUUACCGCCAGGGAAGCUACUCAAACUCAAUCACUUGUAUGCGUCCAAAAUGAACUUACAAGGUGAGAUCCCCCAGUCGCUAGCAAACCGGACCAAACUUUCCCUUUUAGCGAUUGACAUAAACAACCUGGUCGGUAAAAUCCCAUCCUGGUUCAUGAACCUCACGCAAUUAACAUACGUAGAUCUUGCACGAAAUCACUUCCAUGGCACGAUUCCAAGCUCAAUCACUCAACUCAAGCGUCUUGAUUAUUUGAGUAUUGGUUCUAAUAGCUUCACUGGUAUUGUCGAGCUAGACAUGUUUAUGAAACUCCCAAACCUGGUCUCGUUGCAAUUAGGGAGAAACAAUCUAACAGUGCUCGACAAAAAUAGUACCAAUGGUACUCUUCCAAAGCUUGAUAGUCUAGACUUGGAGUCAUGCAACUUAGUCGAGUUCCCUAGCAUUCUAAGAUUUCAAGAUGAAUUGCAGGUGUUAAGUAUAAAGAAUAACAUAAUUCGAGGCGAAAUACCAAUAUGGAUGUGGAACUCGAGUAAAGAAACAAUGGAAUAUGUCGACUUUGGCCAGAACUUUCUGACAAGUUUCGAGCAACAGCCAGCUGUCAUCCCAUGGCAUUUUCUAAUAGUUUUCAACCUCGGCUCUAACAAGCUUCAAGGAUCGCUUCCCAUUCCACCACCAAGCACUGUUAUUUAUAAUGUCCGCGAGAACGCAUUGACAGGAGCAAUUCCACCGUCAAUGUGCCACAACAAUUCUCUUCGUAUGGUUGAUUUGUCCAACAACAAUUUAAAUGGCACAAUACCUCCAUGUUUGGCCAGUUCCAGUGAGGAUCUUCUCACGUUGAAUUUGAGUGGCAAUAGUUUCCAAGGAAGUAUUCCUUCAACAUUCACAAUGAAUUGCCAACUGUUGAUGAUAGAUUUAGGUCGAAAUCAGUUACAGGGGCCGGUGCCAAGAUCAUUGGCAAAUUGCACAAUGCUGGAAUGUCUUGUUCUUCAAAAUAAUCAGAUUGAGGAUACUUUCCCCUCUUGGUUGGAAGCUCUUCCUAAGUUAGAGCUUCUUUUUUUGGGAUCAAACAAAUUCCACGGCGACAUUGGGGAUCCCAAAAACAAUUCAAUGUUUCCAAAGUUGCGGAUAAUUGACCUCUCUUGCAAUGGCUUUUCAGGUAAUUUGCCAAAAGAAUACAUUCGCAACUGGAAUGGAAUGAAAAUGAUCAACAAAGAGAAUUUGACAUAUAUGCGUUCAAAUCCUGAAUUUGAAAUCGAGUUACGUGCCGGUCCAACAACUCAUUUGACAGUAUCCUAUUCAGAUGUGUGGAGCUCCUAUUACUCAAUGAGAGUGGUCAGCAAAGGGACACACAGGUUAUACGAGAGGAUUCAAAGUGCCUUGGUGGUGGUUGAUCUCUCAAACAACACAUUCAUUGGGGAUAUCCCAGAAUCCUUUGGAAGUCUCCGUGGGCUUCAAUUGCUAAACAUUUCCAACAACAAACUUACUAGUGCUAUCCCCACAUCGUUGGCAAACUUGACAGCAUUGGAGUCGUUGGACCUAUCUCAAAACCUGCUCUCAGGUCACAUCCCCUGGCAACUGACCCAACUCACUUUCCUUUCCUUCUUAAAUGUUUCUCAUAAUCGACUCACUGGCCCUAUUCCUCAAGGGAAACAAUUUGGUACAUUCGAAAAUAGUUCAUAUGAUGGGAAUUUGGGAUUGUGUGGUGUCCCAUUGUCGAAGUCAUGCAGAAAUUCAAUGACCUCACCACCACCUCCGCCUAUAUUUCGAGGUCAUGAUCUUGAGUUUUCGAGUGGUAUUUAUUGGAUGGUCAUUGCCUUGGGAUAUGGAAGUGGGCUAGUAGUUGGGUUGGCUAUUGGGAGAACUCUGACGAGGAGGUAUCACGAAUGGUUUGUCGACACCUUUGGGAGGGGGAAGAAAUUUCAGAAGAAGCAGAAAAGCAAGGGCCGAAGAACCUAAUUGUUGGCAAUGAAAUUGUGGGUUCUUUCUUCAGUACUACUUUUGAGCUUGUGCCCCCAUCUUGGCUAGAGUUAUGUUAAUAAAAGGGUCAGGUGUUAAGAAUAUGCAGGUUUUAGUACUGGAAUACUAGCAGUGUUGUCAGGUUUCUAGAGUGCAUAAGAGAGAUCUUCCCAGAGCUUUUGUUCUUGCUUGUUUUUAUAUAUGGACUGUUGUACUUGUCUGCUUUUCCUAUUUCCCCCAAACUGAAUCAAAUAACAUCAGGAACCAAGCCCGGCCACUAACCCCCAUAGUUUCAACAGAUGCUUUAACACCUCAGAUUUGUUGUUGGACCUCUGGGUUGUUAUAUCACCAUCUGCUAAGGCCUUGCAGCUGUUGCUAUCUUCUCACAAAACUCAAAUAAUACAAAAAUCAGAUUUCCUUCCCAUUAAUAUCGACCCAUUGAAAGUAAUAAGAACCGUGUUGGUCGAUGAGGCAAGGUUAACAGAACGAACUCCUAUUUGCCAUUUGGGUUUUGAUUCGAGUGUGUGCUUGUCUGGUUGUACACAUGAAUCUCGUUACGUUGUUUGUUGU